Molecule: ribosomal RNA, 468 nt
Filed under: uncultured bacterium
Lineage: Bacteria
Description: partial 16S ribosomal RNA
Rfam family: Bacterial small subunit ribosomal RNA
Source: RNAcentral
GACGAACGCUGGCGGCGGGCUUAACACAUGCAAGUCGAACGGAAAGGCCCUGCUUUUGUGGGGUGCUCGAGUGGCGAACGGGUGAGUAACACGGGAGUAACCUGCCCUUGACUUUGGGAUAACUUCAGGAAACUGGGGCUAAUACCGGAUAGGAGCUCCUGCUGCAUGGGGGGGGUUGGAAAGUUUCGGCGGAUGGGGAUGGACGCGCGGCUUAUCAGCUGGUUGGUGGGGUAGUGGCUUACCAAGGCUUCGACGGGUAGCCGGCCUGGGAGGGUGACCGGCCACCUUGGUCCUGCGGUACGGCGCAGUCUCCUACGGGGGGCAGCAGUCGAGAAUCUUGCCCAGUGGGCGGAAGCCUGUUGCAGCAGCGCCGCGUUCGGGAUGCCGGCCUUCGGGUUGUGAACCGCAUUCGCCUGUGACGAAGCUUGAGUGACGGUACUGGGUAAAGAAGCACCGGCUAACUACGUG